UGGGGAAUAUUGGACAAUGGGCGCAAGCCUGAUGCAGCCAUGCCGCGUGUAUGAAGAAGGCCUUCGGGUUGUAAAGUACUUUCAGCGGGGAGGAAGGCGAUGCGGUUAAUAACCGCGUCGAUUGACGUUACCCGCAGAAGAAGCACCGGCUAACUCCGUGCCAGCAGCCGCGGUAAUACGGAGGGUGCAAGCGUUAAUCGGAAUUACUGGGCGUAAAGCGCACGCAGGCGGUCUGUCAAGUCGGAUGUGAAAUCCCCGGGCUCAACAUGGGAACUGCAUCCGAAACUGGCAGGCUUGAGUCUCGUAGAGGGGGGUAGAAUUCCAGGUGUAGCGGUGAAAUGCGUAGAGAUCUGGAGGAAUACCGGUGGCGAAGGCGGCCCCCUGGACGAAGACUGACGCUCAGGUGCGAAAGCGUGGGGAGCAAACA
Molecule: ribosomal RNA, 427 nt
Filed under: uncultured bacterium
Lineage: Bacteria
Description: partial 16S ribosomal RNA
Rfam family: Bacterial small subunit ribosomal RNA
Source: RNAcentral